GACGAGGGCCUCAAGCGUUAUCCGGAUUUAUUGGGCGUAAAGGGCGCGUAGGGGGCUCGUCGCAUCUUCGGUUAAAUGCCGCUGCUCAACGGCGGCGCCGCCGGAGAGAUGGACGGGCUAGAGGAUGCCAGAGGCUAACGGAACGCAUGGUGUAGGGGUGAAAUCCGUUGAUAUCAUGCGGAACACCGAAGGCGAAGGCAGUUAGCUGGGGCAUUCCUGACCCUGAGGCGCGAAAGCGUGGGGAGCAAAGAGG
Molecule: unclassified non-coding RNA, 253 nt
Filed under: uncultured Parcubacteria group bacterium
Lineage: Bacteria
Description: contains 16S-23S intergenic spacer region
Rfam family: Bacterial small subunit ribosomal RNA
Source: RNAcentral